GCUUCUCCACCUUGUGGCUAAGAUCAAGUGUA
Molecule: small nuclear RNA, 32 nt
Filed under: Cervus elaphus hippelaphus
Lineage: Eukaryota; Metazoa; Chordata; Mammalia; Artiodactyla; Cervidae
Source: RNAcentral